Molecule: long non-coding RNA, 408 nt
Filed under: Monodelphis domestica (gray short-tailed opossum)
Lineage: Eukaryota; Metazoa; Chordata; Mammalia; Didelphimorphia; Didelphidae
Description: lncRNA (ENSMODG00000034459.2)
Source: RNAcentral
UUCCUCUCUUGGGUUCUCUUUUCACGGAGAGGUGGCUAGUGGGAACAUGCUGGGCAUCUUGGCAUCUUGGUGUUGGCUACAUCUAUUGUCUGGGUUUGUCGGUCAUGUGUACUUCCAAAGCUUUUCAACUAGUUCCGUUGGGGAAGACUCACUUGAGAGAAGCUCUUCUGCUAUAAUGGGACCAUGGAGUCCUGGAUGUAUGGAUGGAUUUGAUGAAAGCUCAAGAGAAGAGAGAUCUUGGAUUCUAGUUUCAAGAGAGAAGACAUGCAGUUUCAUACUUCAAGUUCCUGAAGGGAGAGGAAGACUGGAGAAAAGGUCAACAUGAGGAGAAGUCAUGAAAUUUUCCCUAUGCCCAGUUUAUCACAUUAAAGACUUUAGGAAAUUAUCCUUGAAAUUGUCUUGGUUGAA